RNAcentral lists this ribosomal RNA (686 nucleotides) under Ariadna araucana. Its description in RNAcentral is "eukaryotic LSU rRNA". It matches the Rfam family "Eukaryotic large subunit ribosomal RNA", at positions 121 to 605 of the family's 3401-position model. Lineage: Eukaryota; Metazoa; Arthropoda; Arachnida; Araneae; Segestriidae. The record is from RNAcentral.
GUUCGUUACGGACGUUUGAAAAAUGUGGCGUUUAGGAAGUCGCGUGCCGGAGGUAGACUCUGCAGCAAGUCCCCCUGACCGGGGCUGUUACCCAGAGCGGGUGCGAGGCCCAUAGUUGCUAAGUCUUCUUCGGAUGUGACCUCUUGGGAGUCGGGUUGCUUGGGAGUGCAACCCUAAUCGGGUGGUAAACUCCACCUAAGACUAAAUACGGCCGUGAGACCGAUAGCAAACAAGUACCGUGAGGGAAAGUUGCAAAGAACUUUGAAGAGAGAGUUCAAGAGUACGUGAAACUGCUCAGAGGCAAACGGGUGGGCCCUCGAAAUCCUCUGGCGGGGGGAUUCAGUCAGGAGAGGCGGAGGUGUUCGUCGAUUACAACGGACCCUUUCCAAGGCCGGGUCGGCGGCACGGUCUCUGUUUUACCUGACGCAUUUCCUCCCGCACUAAGGACGCCGCAGCCGGUUGGGUAGCUGCGCGAGUCGGCCAUGAGGGCGGGCACCGGCAGGUGACCAGUGGUGUUGCUCAGCGCCAUCGGUUGUUAGCCAGCUCGUCCGUGGCGCGACACCCGACCGAGGUUGAAUUGUUCCCGUAUGGGAACUCGCCGUCCCCUUCGGAGCGGGCGCUGGCAGGCGUAUCGCGGUGUUGCCUCGUCACUCUCGUAGUGGCCGGUGCACCGAGGUCGCUGGUGG